GAAAGUACGUGUAUGUUUGAUAAAUACAAUUGAAUGCUAAAAACAAGAGUAAAACAACAUAUGGAGCAUAUAUACUUUUUUUU
Molecule: non-coding RNA, 83 nt
Organism: Callorhinus ursinus (northern fur seal)
Lineage: Eukaryota; Metazoa; Chordata; Mammalia; Carnivora; Otariidae
Source: RefSeq, a predicted model, not a curated record